Pezoporus flaviventris is the source of this 891-nucleotide long non-coding RNA. RefSeq lists it as uncharacterized. The transcript is spliced from 3 exons. NCBI's taxonomy places the organism in Eukaryota, Metazoa, Chordata, Aves, Psittaciformes, Psittacidae. The record is from RefSeq and is a predicted model, not a curated record.
CCUCUGGCGGGGAGAAAUUGAAACCAGCAGCAUUUAGCCUUCAGUUUUGUAGGCAAAGCAUGUUCUCCUGGGGGGGUUCUGCCAUGGCUUGGUCCAAUUGCUACCAAUGUAUCACUUGCGAUGCUCUUAACUACUUCAGACAAAUGCAGCGGUGCUCUAAUGAAAACUAAAAUUCGCAGGCAUGCUUUCAACCACACAAAUUUAAUAAAGGAUUUUAUUCACCUGACAAAUCUAAUCAAUUUUCACCAAAUAAGGCAACAUUCAGCCUCAGGGCUAGGAGUUCACUGCAUGUGUAGUGUAUACAUCUUUCCAGGUUCAAAAGACUUGGGGUUUGUGGCUAGUGCUGAGUUCAAAAUGAAAUGUUACCUGCAGGUCAAAAGCUGUUUUCUAACACAGCAAUUGUGUUAGGUAUUUAUACGGUUUAUUCAGUGAUGACAGGUAUUAAGGUAUCUACUAAUACUUGCCAUCAGCACCACAUUAAGUUUUUUGUUUUUCAUGUGACCAGGUCUGUUCAGAUUCAGAUAAUGAAAUUAUCUUUCUUCUCUAUUAACCUGUGUCACUUCAAUUUAUGCACAAAUGCUGCCCUUGACUACAGUCUGAUCUGAGCCCACAGGUUUUCAGUAUACCUCCAAGGACAGAAUUUUGUCACUAUUGGCCUGAAUGCCAACAUUUGUGCCAGUCCCACCGCUCUGCAGCAUUAAUGAAAUCAUUGGAUGAUAUUCCAUAAAUUGAAGUGCCCCAAACACUCCAUUGUAAACUUCAGAUUAAGUCCUGCUCAUCAGACCCCUGAGAAACAAUAAAUGCAGUUUAACAGAGUCAGUGUCACAGAGGACAGAAAAUACAGGCCAAGACUACCAAUUACUAUAAACAACUCCAUUUGAUUCAGUGGAG